CUCGGCCUCAGAUCAGACAAGGCUACCCGCUGAAUUUAAGCAUAUUAAUAAGCGGAGGAAAAGAAACUAACAAGGAUUCCCCUAGUAACGGCGAGUGAAGCGGGAUCAGCUCAAAUUUAAAAUCUCCGUUGCUUGCAACGGCGAAUUGUAGUUUCGAGAAGCGCUUUCUAGGCGGACCGCCUGCGCCUAAGUUGCUUGGAACAGCACGUCAUAGAGGGUGACAACCCCGUCUGUGGCGUAGGCGGCCGCUCACGAUGUGCUUUCGAAGAGUCGGGUUGUUUGGGAAUGCAGCCCAAAAUGGGUGGUAAACUCCAUCUAAAGCUAAAUAUUGGCACGAGACCGAUAGCGAACAAGUACCGUGAGGGAAAGAUGAAAAGGACUUUGGAAAGAGAGUUAAAAAGUACGUGAAACCGUUAAAAGGGAAACGAAUGGAGCUAGCAAUGCACCCAGUGAGAUUCAGCCUGUAGGUGGCUAGGGCGCGCUGUUUGCAGAUCUGAAUUGACUGCUGCAGUGCGGUUCGAGCUCCCUGCCGUCGCACUUCUCGCGGGCGCGCGUCAACAUGGGUUGGGACCGGGUCUUAAAGGCACCGGCAAGGUAGGUCCGUACCUCCGGGUACGUACUGUUCUAGGCCGACGUUCUCGCGGCCCGGGCCCGACCGAGGCGAUGCAGCACAUGCCUCUUGUGGCUGGGGUCCCGUUCUUCCGGUUGGUUGUCGACUGUGGUGGACUGCGUGCAGUGCACCACGACCGCUGCCGGUCGCUUGGGCGGUGACUUCGCAUGAUGUGCUUAGGAUGUUGGCGGUCAUAUGGCUUCAUCCGACCCGUCUUGAAACACGGACCAAGGAGUCUACCAUAUGCGCGAGUCUUUGGGUGAUUGAAACCCGCGGGCACAAUGAAAGUGAAGGCGGCUCCGGCCUGCCGAGGUGAGAACCUCCCCUCUCGGGGUGGCGCAUCAUCGACCGACCUAUUCUACUCUUAGGAAGGUUUGAGUAAGAGCGCAUUUGUUGGGACCCGAAAGAUGGUGAACUAUGCCUGAAUAGGGUGAAGCCAGAGGAAACUCUGGUGGAGGCUCGUAGCGAUUCUGACGUGCAAAUCGAUCGUCAAAUUUGGGUAUAGGGGCGAAAGACUAAUCGAACUGUCUAGUAGCUGGUUCCCUCCGAAGUUUCCCUCAGGAUAGCAGGAGCUCUUUGCAGUUUUAUCAGGUAAAGCGAAUGAUUAGAGGUCUUAGGGUUAAAACAACCUUAACCUAUUCUCAAACUUUAAAUUGGUAAGAAGUCCGACUUGCUCAAUUGAAGCCGGACGUGGAAUGCGAGUUCCUAGUGGGCCAUUUUUGGUAAGCAGAACUGGCGAUGCGGGAUGAACCGAACGCCGAGUUAAGGUGCCAAAGU
This 1387-nucleotide ribosomal RNA is filed under the name Parantipathes cf. hirondelle NB-2020. Its description in RNAcentral is "partial 28S ribosomal RNA". It matches the Rfam family "Eukaryotic large subunit ribosomal RNA", at positions 1 to 1194 of the family's 3401-position model. The record is from RNAcentral. Lineage: Eukaryota; Metazoa; Cnidaria; Anthozoa; Antipatharia; Schizopathidae.